RNAcentral lists this ribosomal RNA (253 nucleotides) under uncultured bacterium. RNAcentral describes it as "partial 16S ribosomal RNA". It matches the Rfam family "Bacterial small subunit ribosomal RNA", at positions 524 to 776 of the family's 1533-position model. The record is from RNAcentral.
GACGUAGGGAGCGAGCGUUGUCCGGAUUCAUUGGGCGUAAAGCGCGCGUAGGCGGUUUGGCAAGUCGGAUGUGAAAUCCCGAGGCUCAACCUCGGGACUGCAUCCGAUACUGCCCGACUAGAGGUAGGUAGGGGAGAUCGGAAUUCCUGGUGUAGCGGUGAAAUGCGCAGAUAUCAGGCGGAACACCCGUGGCGAAGGCGGCUCACUGGGGGUCUUCUGACGCUGAGGAACGAAAGCGAGGGGAGCGAACGGG